Molecule: unclassified non-coding RNA, 578 nt
Filed under: Hevea brasiliensis (rubber tree)
Lineage: Eukaryota; Viridiplantae; Streptophyta; Magnoliopsida; Malpighiales; Euphorbiaceae
Source: RNAcentral
GUCAGAUCCAAAAGUAAUCUCCAAUUUAAUGGAAUAUUUUUGGUGAUGGGUAUAAUUUGGCACCAUUUCAUAUUGUGACCCAUGGUUUUUACCUUAUGAUAUUUUGAUUUUGAUCUUGGUAAAAUUUGAAAAUUUGUAUAAAUAGUUGCUAAGGUGAUUUGUUGAUUGAUUUUACACAUCAAAUGAUGAGUGAGUAUUGUUAUUGUUAGUUACUGUUUUGACUCAUUUUUAUGGGAAGAUAUCUGAUAUGCCUCUUUCACAGUGUUAAUUCUAGUUCAUUACUGUUUGAUUUUACACAUCCAAUGGUCAGUGAAUAUUAUUAAUUUUUAGCUAAUAUUUUGGUUCCGUUUGAAUCGAAAUAUCUGUUUGCUUUUAAGCAUUCAGCUUUCCUAGGGACUCAAUGGCCUAGUUAGUUUGCAAAUUGAGGUUUCGGAUAGUAUUCAGAUCCAUGUUUCAAUGUCCUUGGUUCAACUUUAUAGGAAUAGGAUGUCAUGGUUCAUUCAGUUAAUGAAUUUGCGUGUUUAGGACUUCUGCAAGAUGUAUAGUCCAGUUUAAAAUCCCUGAUGUAUUGCUAUGAG